GCAUAACGCGAAGAACCUUACCUACUCUUGACAUCCAGAGAACUUAGCAGAGAUGCUUUGGUGCCUUCGGGAACUCUGAGACAGGUGCUGCAUGGCUGUCGUCAGCUCGUGUUGUGAAAUGUUGGGUUAAGUCCCGCAACGAGCGCAACCCUUAUCCUUUGUUGCCAGCGGUUCGGCCGGGAACUCAAAGGAGACUGCCAGUGAUAAACUGGAGGAAGGUGGGGAUGACGUCAAGUCAUCAUGGCCCUUACGAGUAGGGCUACACACGUGCUACAAUGGCGUAUACAAAGAGAAGCGACCUCGCGAGAGCAAGCGGACCUCAUAAAGUACGUCGUAGUCCGGAUUGGAGUCUGCAACUCGCCUACAUGAAGUCGGAGUUGCUAGUAAUCGCGAAUCAGAACGUCGCGGUGAAUGCGUUCCCGGGUCUUGUACACACCG
Molecule: ribosomal RNA, 438 nt
Filed under: uncultured bacterium
Lineage: Bacteria
Description: bacterial SSU rRNA
Rfam family: Bacterial small subunit ribosomal RNA
Source: RNAcentral